GGAUUAGAUACCCUGGUAGUCCACGCCGUAAACGAUGUGCACUAGAUCGAGGGGGUUCUGACACCGCUCUCGGUCGAAGCGAAAGUGUUAAGUGCACCGCCUGGGGAGUACGGUCGCAAGGCUAAAACUCAAAGGAAUUGACGGGGGCUCACACAAGCGGUGGAGCAUGUGGCUUAAUUCGAAACAACGCGAAGAACCUUAUCCUGGGUUUGACAUGUAUGAAUUAGCUCUGUGAAAACAGAGUGACGCGGCUUGCCGUGGAACAUACACAGGUGCUGCAUGGCUGUCGUCAGCUCGUGCCG
RNAcentral lists this ribosomal RNA (302 nucleotides) under uncultured bacterium. RNAcentral describes it as "bacterial SSU rRNA". It matches the Rfam family "Bacterial small subunit ribosomal RNA", at positions 775 to 1067 of the family's 1533-position model. The record is from RNAcentral.